This 497-nucleotide ribosomal RNA is filed under the name uncultured bacterium. Its description in RNAcentral is "partial 16S ribosomal RNA". It matches the Rfam family "Bacterial small subunit ribosomal RNA", at positions 28 to 507 of the family's 1533-position model. The record is from RNAcentral.
GAUGAACGCUGGCGGCGUGCCUAAUACAUGCAAGUCGAGCGAACGGACGAGAAGCUUGCUUCUCUGAUGUUAGCGGCGGACGGGUGAGUAACACGUGGAUAACCUACCUAUAAGACUGGGAUAACUUCGGGAAACCGGAGCUAAUACCGGAUAAUAUUUUGAACCGCAUGGUUCAAAAGUGAAAGACGGUCUUGCUGUCACUUAUAGAUGGAUCCGCGCUGCAUUAGCUAGUUGGUAAGGUAACGGCUUACCAAGGCAACGAUGCAUAGCCGACCUGAGAGGGUGAUCGGCCAAACUGGAACUGGGAACCGGUCCAGACUCCUACGGGAGGCAGCAGUAGGGAAUCUUCCGCAAUGGGCGAAAGCCUGACGGAGCAACGCCGCGUGAGUGAUGAAGGUCUUCGGAUCGUAAAACUCUGUUAUUAGGGAAGAACAUAUGUGUAAGUAACUGUGCACAUCUUGACGGUACCUAAUCAGAAAGCCACGGCUAACUACGUG